AGAAGGGUCUACAUCAUAAAC
RNAcentral lists this microRNA (21 nucleotides) under Physcomitrium patens. Its description in RNAcentral is "ppt-miR902h-3p". Its record names the gene ppt-miR902h-3p. Lineage: Eukaryota; Viridiplantae; Streptophyta; Bryopsida; Funariales; Funariaceae. The record is from miRBase by way of RNAcentral.